This 241-nucleotide ribosomal RNA is filed under the name uncultured bacterium. Its description in RNAcentral is "partial 16S ribosomal RNA". It matches the Rfam family "Bacterial small subunit ribosomal RNA", at positions 333 to 588 of the family's 1533-position model. The record is from RNAcentral.
GGCCCCCUACGGGGGGCAGCAGUUGGGAAUAUUGGACAAUGGAGGAAACUCUGAUCCAGUGACGCCGCGUGAAGGAAGAAGGUCUUCGGAUUGUAAACUUAUUUUAUCAGGGAAGAAAAAAAUGACUGUACCUGAAGAAGAAGCACCGGCUAACUACGUGCCAGCAGCCGCGGUAAUACGUAGGGGGCAAGCGUUAUCCGGAUUUACUGGGUGUAAAGGGUGCGUGGGUGGCAGGGCAAGU